UUAACCAUAUGCAACAUGAACUUCCCCCACAUCAUCAUCCUUAAUCUCGGCAAAGGUAAAACCCAAAAUACGGAGCUUGCUGUUGCAUCACAGAAGGUGAGGAAUCUAGUAAAUACUACAGAGGACUGCAUGUAGUAUCCUGUUUGAGGAAGCACAUGUAAAAAAAAAAAAUAAAGCUUGAUUUUUCCUCUUAGUUUCAUUUGAAUAAUCAAGCUCUAAAUUGGAGCACUUAAAUGGAAGUCAAGGAACUUGGAGUGUGAUGGAGGAAGCAGUAAUCAGUUUGAAAAGUUGUUGAAUCUCUGAUGAGCUUUGAAUAUGUCAGAUUAAGUUAUGUCCUAGAAAGGGAGGUUCCCUGAACAACUGCUAGUCACUUUAAAUUAUUCUGCAUUUCAAACAGGAAAUCAUCCAAUUAGACUAACAGCUGCAGAGAUUGGAAUAAGCCUUACAUAUUAGAAAAUUAAAGAAAAUGCAGCUGAGUACUAUGUAAAGCAGCUAAGUUAGGAGACUACUCUCAAGGCCAGCAAGAUCAUUUACUUCCAAGUUGUCCUGGAUUCAGAAGAAAGGAUGUUAACACCAAAAGAAUGAUAGUUCCAAGGAAAAAGAGACCGUUACCUGUGAUUUCAGGCUCAACUUCACUACUGACUCUUCUACCUCUUACCCUGAACAAUGCAGUGGGGUGGGGAAUGGGGGGUCGCAGUCAGUUCAAAUGCUU
Molecule: long non-coding RNA, 712 nt
Organism: Aquila chrysaetos chrysaetos
Lineage: Eukaryota; Metazoa; Chordata; Aves; Accipitriformes; Accipitridae
Exons: 4
Source: RefSeq, a predicted model, not a curated record